GACUUCUUGCCCUUCCCCAAAUGUGUCAUGCUCCCUCAUCUUCCUUCAAAAUAUAGAAGCCAGGCAAUAUUUCAGGUGCCUGGCCUACACGAAUGAACAAAACAGAGAUCCUGGCCUAUGUGGACCUCGUAUUCUUAUGGGAGUAGGUGAGAGGUAGGGAGGUGGAUGGUGGAAGAAUGGCUGAGUAAUUGGGUAAAUGAAUGAGAUGUCUGAUGAUAGAUGGAUGGAUGGUGGACAUAAAUGGAUGAUUGAUAGGUAAGUAGAUGAUUGGUGAAUGCGUAGACAGAUAUAGAGAGGUUGAUAAAUGGAUGACUGACAGGUAGAUAAAUAACGAAUACACAGAUAUGCAGACAGAUGGACAGAGUGUCGUGUGGUUAUAACAGCAAUGGAGACAUGAGUCAGGAUGGGGAACGGGAGGGAUUGUGUAUAAAGAGGUGCCAUAUUUCACAAUUUUACAAAAACAGGAGAAAUGAACCAUACUUCUCACGUUGGGUCUGGCUUCCCCUUCAGAGCAGAGCCUGCAGUCUCUGAGCUGAAGUGUCGGUCUCCUCCACCCACCCUCCCACUCUCAGCCACCCCCUCUGCCCUGUGCCUCUCUUCCCCACGCCUUCCUGCCUUUGAAGAGGUGAGGUAAGGUGCACGGGUGAACAGAAAACGCUCCCAAAGCCAAGAGAUCACCAUCUCCUGCUACACCCACCUCUCUCAGGCUUUUAUCGAGAGAGAAGAGCGUGAGACAACCACAACCCACCACACUUAUCUCGUAGAGUAGCUGGGAUUGUGAAGAUGGCAUGAUCCGAAGGUAAACACAGGGUUUAUCAACUCCACUGCAGCAUCGUGGAGAGAGAAUGUAGGAAACAGACGCAAUGGUGACUGACGUGGAUCUCCUCUCCUGUGUGGUAAGAUGUCAGGCCAAAGGUAGGCUUGCAUCCUCCUGCGAGGAGCGGCCCCAUGUGAUUGUCAGCCAUGGGGCAGCCUCCCUGAAUUUCAGUUUCCUCAUCUAUAAAAUGGAAGACAAACCCCCACUGGCUUCCAUGAGAACUGAAGCUAUAUGAACUCACGCCUGUGAGCACGUCUGGGUGUGUUGUGUGUUCAGACAGGGCGCCCGUACAGCGGCAUUGACACACAGUGAGGGAAGCGUUCACCGCAGGCUGACAGCACGCGGGCACCUCCACACUCCUGAACUCGACAGGGGCCUCCGAGACACCCACGUGAGUAAGAGAAGGUCUCAAUAUGUGUCAGGGCUUAAGACAGCUGUGAAAUAAUGGAGGCUGGAUUUGGGAGCAAAUCCUCCUUUGUUCCAUCCCCACACGUUUUCCUGGGGUCAAUGCCUCCUUGGAAAAGGCAGCAGGGGGCGCCGUGGAGGUGGCACCGGCUUUUCAUUCAGGCUCUCAGCUGCGACCUUCUCGUUUGCACGGGUGACACUCCCCGAGGCCAUAAAACCUCUCUAGAAAGAAGAGCAGAGCCAAGAGGCCAGGCAGAUGGUGACUGAGGAGGAUGCAGAAGUGGCUGAUCACAUGAGCCUGUGUGGACCGAGAGAUUUGUUAGGGCACGACUGACUCACAGCCUUUCCUCCACCACUGGGUGAGUUCUGAGACUCACAGCCUUUCCUGCACCACCGGGCGAGUUCCGAGACUCACGGCCUUUCCUCGACCACCGGGUAAGUUCCCAGAUUCACAGCCUUUCCUCGACCACCAGGUGAGUUCCAUCAUCCCUUAGACUCAGUUUUUUCUUCUGACACAGGAGACAACAGUCACAACUUCACCUGCUUAUCAUGAAAGCUCCAUGUGACAACAAUGUGAGAACGCCAGUGAAGGGCAUUUGAAAAACAAAGGGAUUCAUGAAUGGGGUCCCUCACCAGCGACCAACCCCCUGCCCUCACCGGUGCCCUGGGAACUACACAAGAAUUCACAGUACUGGUUAUACUCAGGUAACAACAGGGUGGCAAGGAACACAACUAGACGAAACUAAGCCCCCAAAGGAAGGACAUCAUCAUCACAGUUCCAUGAAGAACUGCUCUGAUAUCGCGGGAAAAAUGUCAGCCCCACAGUUCCAUGAACGACUCUGAAACCACAGAAAGGACAUCAUCCACACAGUUCCACGAAGAACUGCUCUGAGACCACGAGAAGGAUGUCAUCCUCACAUUUCCAUGAAUGGCUCUGAUACCACAGAAAGGAUGUCAUCCUACAUCAUCCUCACAGUGCCAUGAAGAACUGCUCUGAGACCACAGAAAGGACGUCAUCCUACGUCAUCCUCACAGUUCCGUGAAGAACUGCUCCGAGACUGAGCACCAAUCACUAACAGAUACUUCUUCAGAAAUAGAUCGGUAAUAUUUGAUUGAAAGCAAACUAGAAAUAAAGUUUUAAGUUAAUAAAAGAAA
This is a non-coding RNA of Macaca mulatta (Rhesus monkey), 2377 nucleotides long. The record is from RefSeq and is a predicted model, not a curated record. Lineage: Eukaryota; Metazoa; Chordata; Mammalia; Primates; Cercopithecidae.